AGUGAACGCUGGCGGUAGGCCUAACACAUGCAAGUCGAACGGCAGCACAGUAAGAGCUUGCUCUUACGGGUGGCGAGUGGCGGACGGGUGAGGAAUACAUCGGAAUCUACUUUUUCGUGGGGGAUAACGUAGGGAAACUUACGCUAAUACCGCAUACGACCUACGGGUGAAAGCAGGGGAUCUUCGGACCCUGCGCGAUUGAAUGAGCCGAUGUCGGAUUAGCUAGUUGGCGGGGUAAAGGCCCACCAAGGCGACGAUCCGUAGCUGGUCUGAGAGGAUGAUCAGCCGCACUGGAACGGAGACACGGUCCAGACUCCUACGGGAGGCAGCAGUGGGGAAUAUUGGACAAUAGGCGCAAGCCUGAUCCAGCCAUACCGCGUGGGUGAAGAAGGCCUUCGGGAUGUAAAGCCCUUUUGUUGGGAAAGAAAAGCAGCAGGUUAAUACCCCGCUGUUCUGACGGUACCCAAAGAAUAAGCACCGGCCAACUUCGUG
This 492-nucleotide ribosomal RNA is filed under the name uncultured bacterium. RNAcentral describes it as "partial 16S ribosomal RNA". It matches the Rfam family "Bacterial small subunit ribosomal RNA", at positions 29 to 507 of the family's 1533-position model. The record is from RNAcentral.